Molecule: long non-coding RNA, 245 nt
Organism: Drosophila arizonae
Lineage: Eukaryota; Metazoa; Arthropoda; Insecta; Diptera; Drosophilidae
Source: RefSeq, a predicted model, not a curated record
AAAAAAAGUUAAUUAUUAAAAAUUGUAUUUUUGGACUUUUACAAAAGCUAAAUAUCUCGAAAGUUCAGUAUUACUAUUAAUAAAAAUGCCGCGUCCUAGAAGAUCUAAUCUUUCCCGGCGGACCCAUAAUGCAAUUAGGCAACGGAAUAGCGCGAGUCAAUUAUCUGACGAAGAGCGAGAAAUCGCCCGAGAAAGGCUCCGCGUUAGUACCCAGGGAAGAAGGGCCUUAAUUCGUGCUUCUCAAA